CGGGGAAUAUUGCACAAUGGGCGCAAGCCUGAUGCAGCCAUGCCGCGUGUAUGAAGAAGGCCUUCGGGUUGUAAAGUACUUUCAGCGGGGAGGAAGGUGUUGUGGUUAAUAACCACAGCAAUUGACGUUACCCGCAGAAGAAGCACCGGCUAACUCCGUGCCAGCAGCCGCGGUAAUACGGAGGGUGCAAGCGUUAAUCGGAAUUACUGGGCGUAAAGCGCACGCAGGCGGUCUGUCAAGGCGGAUGUGAAAUCCCCGGGCUCAACCUGGGAACUGCAUCCGAAACGGGCAGGCUUGAGUCGUGUAGAGGGGGGUAGAAUUCCAGGUGUGGCGGUGAAAUGCGUAGAGAUCUGGAGGAAUGCCGGUGGCGAAGGCGGCCCCCUGGACAAAGACUGACGCUCAGGUGCGAAAGCGUGGGGAGCAAACA
RNAcentral lists this ribosomal RNA (427 nucleotides) under uncultured bacterium. RNAcentral's name for it is "partial 16S ribosomal RNA". It matches the Rfam family "Bacterial small subunit ribosomal RNA", at positions 355 to 774 of the family's 1533-position model. The record is from RNAcentral.